RNAcentral lists this ribosomal RNA (376 nucleotides) under uncultured eukaryote. RNAcentral describes it as "partial 18S ribosomal RNA". It matches the Rfam family "Eukaryotic small subunit ribosomal RNA", at positions 592 to 975 of the family's 1831-position model. The record is from RNAcentral.
CAAUAGCGUAUAUUAAUGUUGUUGCAGUUAAAAAGCUCGUAGUUGGAUUUCUGAUGGGAGCCCUGGUCACUCUAACGAGUGUACUGAUGUGGCGUCCUGUCGUUUCAUGGGGAUGCUUGCUGGUAUUAAGUUAUCGGCUUGUGGAUCCAUGUCGUUUACUGUGAAAAAAUUAGAGUGUUCAAAGCAGGCCAUCGCUGUGAAUACAUUAGCAUGGAAUAAUAAGAUAGGACUGUGGUGCUAUUUUGUUGGUUUGCGUACUACGGUAAUGAUUAAUAGGGAUAGUUGGGGGUAUUCAUAUUCAAUUGUCAGAGGUGAAAUUCUUGGAUUUAUGGAAGAUGAACUACUGCGAAAGCAUUUACCAAGGAUGUUUNCAUUA